Molecule: long non-coding RNA, 1645 nt
Filed under: Olea europaea subsp. europaea
Lineage: Eukaryota; Viridiplantae; Streptophyta; Magnoliopsida; Lamiales; Oleaceae
Source: RNAcentral
GUAAUAUUUGUGAUUUAUAUUUUGUUGUCUUUUAAUUCACUGUUUUUUCUAUGAUAGUUCUGAUUGUGAAAUUGAGCCUUUAACUUUUGUAUUUAUUAUAAGCAAGAUUGGAAUGCUGGAAUUCGUUCAGGAUUCGGGUACGUCGAAUCUCUGGUUAAAACAAUCUUUAUAAUGAAGGUACAGAAAAAAGUGAAAUAAUAAUAAGAGUUCCUGAGACACAAAUUCUAACAAACACCUCUUUUCUUAUGCACCAGAAUACUGGUUCCAACUACCUAUAUCCUUUUUGCCUCAGCUCUUCCAGUAAUUGCAUUGGGAGAGCAAAUAAGCAGAGAUACUGGUACACUUUUUAACUUAAGUUUGGGUAGAAAAACCCUGAACCCUGACUUGUCAUUAGCUGUCAAAGUGAUCAUGACCACACAAAACAUUAUUUCUGUUUAUAAAGGAUUACAAGUUUUGUACUGGUUUAUUGCUUAGGAUUGCAUAGGCUGUAGAACUUUGGUAUCAACUGCAAUUUGUGGUAAUGUAUAAUACACUAUAUUUGGUGGAUAAGCCUCCUUAUACAUACACUUAUACAUGUGCAGUUGCAGUCUAACUUAAAUGUGUUCUUACAUACUUCUAAUUUAUUUUAUUUCCAUUUUUUAGCAUUAAGUUUUGUUGCAUCAGCAUCUUAGUUUAUGAGGACAUGAAAUUUGUUUGUUUGAACUUUGAAAUUCAGUUGUAUUUUUCCUUUCAGCAAUGUUAUAUUUUGGUAGUCGCUUUUUCGCCCUUUGAUAUUUCAACUUAUGUAAAUAUCCAAAGUGUAUGGCUGUUGGAGCAAUCAUAUAGUGAUUGACUAUGAACUUAAAAAAAUGGCGUAUUUCUAAAGAAUGAUUCAUGAUAUGCGCAUAAAAGAUGGAAAAGCAACAUAUGUCUUCCUAUUGUUAUUGUUAUCAUUGAUGUUGCUUUAAAACUUCUGCAUAUAGUUUGGGCGUGUUAGAAUAGUUGAAUUGGAUUUGUUUCUAAAAUAAGCUAAUCAUAUGGAGUGGGAUAUUUCCUAAUUUUUCUGUCUAUUUUUAGGAUGAUAGGAUGGUUUGCUGUUAAGCUUUCUAGAAGUCAAUUCUUACAUUGUAUUUAUCUUUGUAAUUUCUACUUGGAACAGAAUUAGGUUUCAGUCUUCCCAAAUUUCACUUGGUAUCAAAGCCAUACUAGUUCUGUUUAUAAAGGAUUACAAGUUUUUUUCUGCCAUUUAUAGCAUUUGUAACAUUUGAGUAAUCAUCUUGGAAUAUUUCCCAACAGGAGGGUACAACACCCUUGAACCUAUAUGUUCAGGAUGAAUUUCAUCGUUCUGCACAAGUGGGGGUUGGAGGUGUCAAAAGCAUUACAAAUUAUGCUCCGUUAAAAUAUAUGCUGGAUGAUCAUAAUAACCUCGUAGUUUCCUCUUUCACUUGUUUGACAUUUAUUGCUUUGUAGAAGAUUUUAUUGCUUUAAUACGUUAACAACUUUUGUAGGUUUUGAAUCAUUGAACAGAGAAUGGAACAGAGGCUUCUCUGAUGUCUUAUACCUUGAUUCUAUGAAUAAGAGAUAUACUGAAGAGGCCUCUUCUUGUCUUGUCUUCAUUUGGAAGGUAUUUAGCGAAUGUCCUAUUCCAUUUGAAGAACUACCUGAU